This 498-nucleotide ribosomal RNA is filed under the name uncultured bacterium. Its description in RNAcentral is "partial 16S ribosomal RNA". It matches the Rfam family "Bacterial small subunit ribosomal RNA", at positions 28 to 507 of the family's 1533-position model. The record is from RNAcentral.
GACGAACGCUGGCGGCGUGCCUAAUACAUGCAAGUCGAACGAGAGCGCCCGGUGCUUGCACUGGUCAAUCUAGUGGCGAACGGGUGAGUAACACGUGGGUAACCUUCCCAUCAGAGGGGGAUAACAUCCGGAAACGGAUGCUAAAACCGCAUAGGUCUUCGAACCGCAUGGUUUGAAGAGGAAAAGAGGCGCAAGCUUCUGCUGAUGGAUGGACCCGCGGUGCAUUAGCUAGUUGGUGAGGUAACGGCUCACCAAGGCCGUGAUGCAUAGCCGACCUGAGAGGGUGAUCGGCCACAUUGGGACUGAGACACGGCCCAAACUCCUACGGGAGGCAGCAGUAGGGAAUCUUCCGCAAUGGACGCAAGUCUGACGGAGCAACGCCGCGUGAGUGAAGAAGGUUUUCGGAUCGUAAAACUCUGUUGUUAGAGAAGAACAAGUGCUAGAGUAACUGUUAGCGCCUUGACGGUAUCUAAACAGAAAGCCACGGCUAACUACGUG